CAGUAGCCGCGGGAAUACGUAGGGUGCGAGCGUUAAUCGGAAUUACUGGGCGUAAAGCGUGCGCAGGCGGUUCGUUAAGACAGAUGUGAAAUCCCCGGGCUUAACCUGGGAACUGCAUUUGUGACUGGCGAGCUAGAGUAUGGCAGAGGGGGGUAGAAUUCCACGUGUAGCAGUGAAAUGCGUAGAGAUGUGGAGGAACAUCAGUGGCGAAGGCGGCCAUCUGGGACAACACUGACGCUGAGGCACGAAAGCGUGGGGAGCAAACAGGAUUAGAUACCCCCGUAGUCCCUGUCUCUUAUAC
RNAcentral lists this ribosomal RNA (301 nucleotides) under uncultured bacterium. Its description in RNAcentral is "partial 16S ribosomal RNA". It matches the Rfam family "Bacterial small subunit ribosomal RNA", at positions 509 to 807 of the family's 1533-position model. The record is from RNAcentral.